This 416-nucleotide ribosomal RNA is filed under the name uncultured bacterium. RNAcentral describes it as "partial 16S ribosomal RNA". It matches the Rfam family "Bacterial small subunit ribosomal RNA", at positions 355 to 783 of the family's 1533-position model. The record is from RNAcentral.
UGGGGAAUAUUGGACAAUGGGCGGAAGCCUGAUCCAGCAACGCCGCGUGAGGGAUGACGGCCUUCGGGUUGUAAACCUCUUUCAGUACCGACGAAGCGAAAGUGACGGUAGGUACAGAAGAAGGACCGGCCAACUACGUGCCAGCAGCCGCGGUAAUACGUAGGGUCCGAGCGUUGUCCGGAAUUAUUGGGCGUAAAGGGCUCGUAGGCGGUUUGUCGCGUCGGGAGUGAAAACAGCGGGCUUAACUCGUUGCUUGCUUUCGAUACGGGCAGACUAGAGGUAUGCAGGGGAGAAUGGAAUUCCUGGUGUAGCGGUGAAAUGCGCAGAUAUCAGGAGGAACACCGGUGGCGAAGGCGGUUCUCUGGGCAUUACCUGACGCUGAGGAGCGAAAGUGUGGGGAGCGAACAGGAUUAGAU